GACGAACCGAGCGAACGUUGUUCGGAGUCACUGGGCUUAAAGGGCGCGUAGGCGGGUGCUCAAGUCUGUGGUGAAAUCCUCCGGCUCAACCGGAGAACUGCCAUGGAUACUGGGUGCCUCGAGGGUGGUAGGGGUAUGCGGAACUAUCGGUGGAGCGGUGAAAUGCGUUGAUAUCGAUAGGAACUCCGGUGGCGAAGGCGGCAUACUGGACCACUUCUGACGCUGAGGCGCGAAAGCCAGGGGAGCGAACGGG
This 253-nucleotide ribosomal RNA is filed under the name uncultured bacterium. Its description in RNAcentral is "partial 16S ribosomal RNA". It matches the Rfam family "Bacterial small subunit ribosomal RNA", at positions 524 to 776 of the family's 1533-position model. The record is from RNAcentral.